ACCACUUCUGUAAGACCUUGUCCAGCUAAUAAUUACCGUUACUGACAUUGGUCGGGCUCAUUUUUAUCCGAUUAUAUCACAUCUGCAUUUGACACGUGUUAUAUUUUUUCGGAGGACUCAGACAAAACAGGCAAGACCGACCCACCGAAAGCUACAUCUAUGUAUGGGUGGCUAACAAUUAGUGACCUUAUUCCAUCUAUACAACAUGGGACCUGCUCUAACUACUGAGUUUUGAGAGGAUAUUUACAAGCAAAGGAAGAUGUUGGAGUUAUUUUUGUUGGGUUGCACAGGGGUGGUGAUGUUUCUUCAUGGAACCAAUAUUUUUUUCAAUUACUUGUGCAAACAUGCUACAGUUCGUGGUUUGAGUUUUCUUAGUCAUAUUGGAUACUAAGACGGAUAUCAAGGAGCUCUUCUGUGUCAAGCUAGGAUGGAGAGGUUUGAUCCAUUGAUUUGUACAGAUAAUUAGCAAUGAGCAUUUCAAACAUGAAUGAUAAUAGUUUGGAGAUCCACACCUCUGAGACAAAAACAUUGAAAGGGCAAAAGCUGCUAAUCAUGUGGUUUAGUCAAAUGUAUAUAAUGGGGGCUGUAGCAAUCUUCAAAAUUUAAUGAGGUUUGAUUGAUCACGGGACCCCCCUGCCUUGCACUGUGUGUUGCUUAGGCAGCUUUAUUGUUAUUUCUGUAUUCAGUUAUUCUGUUAUCUUGCUUUCUGGAAACUGCCCAUGUGACUUUGAGGAGUGACCAUGUGUCCUCCCUUUUUUCCAUGGAUAUGUGUAUAUAUUUAUAAAUUAAUAGAAACUGAGGCACAUUUUCAUAAAAUGAGAUUUAUAAAAAUCAUAAGAGGGUCGAAGAAAUUUUUG
This is a long non-coding RNA of Cryptomeria japonica (Japanese cedar), 857 nucleotides long. RefSeq lists it as uncharacterized. Lineage: Eukaryota; Viridiplantae; Streptophyta; Pinopsida; Cupressales; Cupressaceae. The record is from RefSeq and is a predicted model, not a curated record. The transcript is spliced from 2 exons.